CCUACGGGGGGCAGCAGUGGGGAAUAUUGCGCAAUGGGCGAAAGCCUGACGCAGCGACGCCGCGUGAGGGAUGAAGGUCUUCGGAUCGUAAACCUCUGUCAGGAGGGAAGAAGUGGUUAUAUGCGAAUAGUGUAUGACUUUGACGGUACCUCCAAAGGAAGCACCGGCUAACUCCGUGCCAGCAGCCGCGGUAAUACGGAGGGUGCGAGCGUUAAUCGGAAUCACUGGGCGUAAAGCGCGCGUAGGCGGCUUUUCAAGUCAGCGGUCAAAUCGUGGGGCUCAACCCCAUCCAGCCGUUGAAACUGGGGAUCUAGAGUGUGCGAGAGGUAUGCGGAAUGCGUGGUGUAGCGGUGAAAUGCAUAGAUAUCACGCAGAACCCCGAUUGCGAAGGCAGCAUACCGGGGCACAACUGACGCUCAGGCACGAAAGCGUGGGUAUCGAACAGGAUUAGAUACCCCAGUAGUC
RNAcentral lists this ribosomal RNA (465 nucleotides) under uncultured bacterium. RNAcentral's name for it is "partial 16S ribosomal RNA". It matches the Rfam family "Bacterial small subunit ribosomal RNA", at positions 338 to 795 of the family's 1533-position model. The record is from RNAcentral.